This 403-nucleotide ribosomal RNA is filed under the name uncultured bacterium. RNAcentral describes it as "partial 16S ribosomal RNA". It matches the Rfam family "Bacterial small subunit ribosomal RNA", at positions 30 to 526 of the family's 1533-position model. The record is from RNAcentral.
AUUGAACGCUGGCGGCAGGCCUAACACAUGCAAGUCGAGUGAGCGGCGGACGGGUGAGUAAUGUAUGGGGACUGCCCGAUAGAGGGGGAUAACUACUGGAAACGGUAGCUAAUACCGCAUACUAACGGAUAACCCAUAUGGGAUUAGCUAGUAGGUUAGGUAAUGGCUAACCUAGGCGACGAUCCCUAGCUGGUCUGAGAGGAUGAUCAGCCACACUGGGACUGAGACACGGACCAGACUCCUACGGAGGCAGCAGUGGGGAAUAUUGCACAAUGGGCGAAAGCCUGAUGCAGCAAUGCCGCGUGUAUGAAGAAGGCCCUAGGGUUGUAAAGUACUUUCAGUCGGGAGGCGUUACCGACAGAAGAAGCACCGGCUAACUCCGUGCCAGCCGCCGCGGUAAUUC